GAGCACACAUUUCGAAGUACCAAACACGUCUAUGAUGUAAGACUAUGAUUAUCCCAGUUUUUAAGGAAAAUCACUCAUUUAAUUAAAUCGAAAGUAAAUAAAUUUAGAUAACCAAUCUUUAAUUGAGCAUUUUGGACACUGAUCUCUAGAUGGGUUUUAAACACACGUGUGUCAGCACACAAUCAAAUAUAAUUUUUUUUUCUCUCUUUAUUUUCUUUUAUUUCUCUUUUUAUUUUCUUUUAUUUCUCUUUCUUCGUCUUUUCUUUUAUUUCUCCGUGAACACGACGAUGUCUUCUCCAUGAGGAAGACAAAGGCCAUCGUCUUCGAUUUUCAGCAAAGGAGUUUCUAGGGUUUCUGGUUUCGGUGUCGUGGACAUGCGCAGCCGUGGUUUCAGUGCUAGAUCCUCUCAGAUCAACAAUGCUGGGUCUAUUGAUCAAGCUCUUAUGCAAUCCAUGGAGCAAAAGGGUUUGAUGGACCACGGAGAGAAAGACAUCACUGCAUGGCGUGAAGAUCUUCAUGAAAAGUGUCAUGUUUGUUGUCAGGCCUUUCUAAGAUCACUCAUGGACUUGUGUAUGCUUUUGUAUGCUUGUGUCAUGUUUUAAUGCAAAGUCAUGAGCUUUUGUUUGCUUUUGUAUCGUUGUGUAUUAUCAAAAUCACAGACUGUUGUAUUCUUGUGUACUAUAAAGUUUGUAUACAAAGUCUCGGACUUCUGUUAAUGUUCUAUAUAACUUCACAACACUCUUGUAUCUC
Molecule: long non-coding RNA, 750 nt
Organism: Brassica napus (rape)
Lineage: Eukaryota; Viridiplantae; Streptophyta; Magnoliopsida; Brassicales; Brassicaceae
Exons: 2
Source: RefSeq, a predicted model, not a curated record